This 242-nucleotide ribosomal RNA is filed under the name uncultured bacterium. RNAcentral's name for it is "partial 16S ribosomal RNA". It matches the Rfam family "Bacterial small subunit ribosomal RNA", at positions 524 to 765 of the family's 1533-position model. The record is from RNAcentral.
UACAGAGGUCUCAAGCGUUGUUCGGAAUCACUGGGCUUAAAGGGCGCGUAGGCGGGCCAGCAAGUCAGGGGUGAAAUCCCACGGCUCAACCGUGGAAGGGCCUUUGAUACUGUCGGCCUCGAGGGAGGUAGGGGCGUGCGGAACUUCCGGUGGAGCGGUGAAAUGCGUAGAUAUCGGAAGGAACAUCGGUGGCGAAAGCGGCGCGCUGGACCUCUUCUGACGCUGAGGUGCGAAAGCCAGGG